GACGAACGCUGGCGGCGUGCCUAAUACAUGCAAGUCGAACGAAUUUUCUUUCACCGUAGCUUGCUACACCGAAAGAAAAUGAGUGGCGAACGGGUGAGUAACACGUGGGUAACCUGCCCAUCAGCGGGGGAUAACACUUGGAAACAGGUGCUAAUAUCGCAUAAUUCAAUUUACCGUAUGGUAAAUGGAUGAUAGGCGCUUUUGUGUCUCUGUUGGAUGGACACGAGGUGCUUUAGCUAGUAGGUGGGGUCACGGCCUACCAAGGCUGCGAUGCAUAGCCGGCCUGGGGGGGUGAUCGGGCCCACCGGGAAUGGGACACGGCCCAGACUCCCACGGGGAGCAGCAGUAGGGAAACUUUGGCAAUGGACGCAAGUCUGACCGGACAACGCCGCGUGAGUGAAUAAGGGUUUCGGAUCGUAAAACUCUGUUUUUAGGGGAGAACAAGGAUGAGAGUGGAAAGUGCACGCCUUGACGGUAUCUAACCAGAAAGCCACGGCUAACUACGUG
Molecule: ribosomal RNA, 507 nt
Filed under: uncultured bacterium
Lineage: Bacteria
Description: partial 16S ribosomal RNA
Rfam family: Bacterial small subunit ribosomal RNA
Source: RNAcentral